This 117-nucleotide non-coding RNA is filed under the name Pan paniscus (pygmy chimpanzee). The record is from Rfam by way of RNAcentral. RNAcentral also lists the same sequence under 1 other name. Lineage: Eukaryota; Metazoa; Chordata; Mammalia; Primates; Hominidae.
GCCGGGCGCGGUGGCUCACGCCUGUAAUCCCAGCAUUUUGGGAGGCCGAGGUGGGCGGAUCACCUGAGGUCGGGAGUUCGAGACCAGCCUGACCAACAUGGUGAAACCCCGUCUCUA